GUAGGUGAACCUGCGGAAGGAUCAUUAACGAGUUAGGGUCUUUAAAUAGGCUCGACCUCCCAACCCUUUGUCUACUCGACCCAUGUUGCUUCGGCGAGCCCGUCUCUCUCGGGGGACCGCCGGGGGACUUUUACCGUCCUCUGGCCCGCGCUCGUCGGUGGCCAACCUACAAAUUCUUAAUUAAACGUGUCUUAUCUGAGUACUAUUUUUUAAUUAAAAGCAAAACUUUCAACAACGGAUCUCUUGGUUC
Molecule: unclassified non-coding RNA, 250 nt
Filed under: plant metagenome
Description: partial contains small subunit ribosomal RNA, internal transcribed spacer 1, and 5.8S ribosomal RNA
Source: RNAcentral